RNAcentral lists this ribosomal RNA (639 nucleotides) under uncultured Actinomycetes bacterium. RNAcentral describes it as "bacterial SSU rRNA". It matches the Rfam family "Bacterial small subunit ribosomal RNA", at positions 232 to 885 of the family's 1533-position model. The record is from RNAcentral. Lineage: Bacteria; Bacillati; Actinomycetota; Actinomycetes.
CGCGGCCUAUCAGCUUGUUGGUGAGGUAACGGCUCACCAAGGCAUCGACGGGUAGCUGGUCUGAGAGGACGAUCAGCCACACUGGGACUGAGACACGGCCCAGACUCCUACGGGAGGCAGCAGUAGGGAAUCUUGCGCAAUGGGCGAAAGCCUGACGCAGCAACGCCGCGUGGGGGAUGAAUGCUUUCGGGUUGUAAACCCCUUUCAGCAGGGACGAAAAUGACGGUACCUGCAGAAGAAGCUCCGGCCAACUACGUGCCAGCAGCCGCGGUAAUACGUAGGGAGCGAGCGUUGUCCGGAAUUAUUGGGCGUAAAGAGCUCGUAGGCGGUUCAGUAAGUCGGGUGUGAAAACUCAAGGCUCAACCUUGAGACGCCACUCGAUACUGCUGUGACUUGAGUCCGGUAGAGGGGUGUGGAAUUCCUGGUGUAGCGGUGAAAUGCGCAGAUAUCAGGAGGAACACCAGCGGCGAAGGCGGCACUCUGGGCCGGUACUGACGCUGAGGAGCGAAAGCAUGGGGAGCAAACAGGAUUAGAUACCCUGGUAGUCCAUGCCGUAAACGUUGGGCACUAGGUAUGGGAUCAUAUCAACGGAUUCCGUGCCGUAGCUAACGCAUUAAGUGCCCCGCCUGGGGAGUACGG